Long non-coding RNA from Diorhabda sublineata, 407 nucleotides. RefSeq lists it as uncharacterized. The transcript is spliced from 2 exons. Lineage: Eukaryota; Metazoa; Arthropoda; Insecta; Coleoptera; Chrysomelidae. The record is from RefSeq and is a predicted model, not a curated record.
UAUAAGCAGUACCUCGAGUUAGUAUUGGCAUAUUCUUCUUUUUUACCUGGCGAUAAAUACAUUCUACAAAUAUGAAAACUUUGGUUAUUGUUGCUGCAGUUCUUCUUUGUGUUGCUUUAGUUUCAGCAACCGAUGAUAAAACUACAACAGCUGAUGUAAAAAUUCUGAAUGAAGGUGAUCCAUGUAAAGAUGAAAACGGGAAACCAAUACCCCAGACUCAAUGUGGACCAGGCUUAAGAUGUUGUGGAUAUUUCAAGAAAUGUGUUAAAAACGAUGAAAAACAUUAAAUAUAUUUGACUAUACUUUCUCAUAAAACCAUGCUUACUUUAAAUAUCAUUGAAACCAAAUAGUUUCUUUUAAUUGUGUACUAAAUAAUAAUUAUAAUAAUAAAGAAUCCAAAAUCUCAA